ACCUAUAUGCCAUACCAGUGUCUCCAUACUCCUUGGUUAAGAGGACAACCAACCCAUAUGGCACACAAUGACCUAUGCUUGAUAAACGUUGUCAUCCUUGGUAACAACGUAUCAUUUGGUCGUGAACAGAUUUAAGGACUAAACGAUAAAUCCUCCUUUGUCGAGUCUAAAUAGUCCUAAGGACUUCACCACAACAUAGGAGUUCAUUAGAAGAUG
This 216-nucleotide long non-coding RNA is filed under the name Elaeis guineensis (African oil palm). Its description in RNAcentral is "long non-coding RNA (EGUI_LNC069522)". Lineage: Eukaryota; Viridiplantae; Streptophyta; Magnoliopsida; Arecales; Arecaceae. The record is from RNAcentral.